GUGCGGCGGGGGCUGCGGAGUGCUCCCUCCAAGACCGGUUGCACCCCGCUUUCCUGGCCAGGACUCUGGGCGCAGUUGGAGGCAUCUGUCCACCCAUGUGGUUCCAGACACGUUCAUGUGGCCACCAUGACCCCGUCGGCAUCACAGGAGUAACCAAGAGCGAGGGGAAAGGGUCACUGUGGAUCAAGCCAGGCUCCUCUGAGCAGUCCAGGAUCUAUUUACAGAGAGCAGCAAGUUCCUGGGACAGAGGAGACAGAAGGGAAUUUCCAGGUUCUUCAGGACGUUCACAACCACACUGAGAAGCAUCUUUGCAGAUAAGUAUUUAAACUUACCAGCCCAUAGCCUACCAGCCUGCCCUCUUCUGGUCUGUGCAGGAAAGUGUAGUAUCCUAGAAUACCAAAGUGGGAGGGGAAAUGGGUGAUGUAGCUCAUUCUCUUUUCUACCUCUAUGGAAGAAAGAAAGAGCCUGUCCCCAUUUUGUGGGGUCCCAGAAAGGGUGAUUUUCACACUUCACAUUUGGCAUUAGGGCUAGUAUUUUACAAACAUUACCGUCUGGAACUUUUGAAGGCUGAGUUAAAUGACUUCAUCUUGUGUACUUGUAGAACUGCUAUUA
RNAcentral lists this long non-coding RNA (612 nucleotides) under Pan troglodytes (chimpanzee). Its description in RNAcentral is "lincRNA". Lineage: Eukaryota; Metazoa; Chordata; Mammalia; Primates; Hominidae. The record is from RNAcentral.